UGGCGGCAGGCCUAACACAUGCAAGUCGAGCGGUAGAGAGGUGCUUGCACCUCUUGAGAGCGGCGGACGGGUGAGUAAUGCCUAGGAAUCUGCCUGGUAGUGGGGGAUAACGCUCGGAAACGGACGCUAAUACCGCAUACGUCCUACGGGAGAAAGCAGGGGACCUUCGGGCCUUGCGCUAUCAGAUGAGCCUAGGUCGGAUUAGCUAGUUGGUGGGGUAAUGGCUCACCAAGGCGACGAUCCGUAACUGGUCUGAGAGGAUGAUCAGUCACACUGGAACUGAGACACGGUCCAGACUCCUACGGGAGGCAGCAGUGGGGAAUAUUGGACAAUGGGCGAAAGCCUGAUCCAGCCAUGCCGCGUGUGUGAAGAAGGUCUUCGGAUUGUAAAGCACUUUAAGUUGGGAGGAAGGGCAGUUACUUAAUACGUGACUGUCUUGACGUUACCGACAGAAUAAGCACCGGCUAACUCUGUGCCAGCAGCCGCGGUAAUACAGAGGGUGCAAGCGUUAAUCGGAAUUACUGGGCGUAAAGCGCGCGUAGGUGGUUCGUUAAGUUGGAUGUGAAAUCCCCGGGCUCAACCUGGGAACCGCAUUCAAAACUGUCGAGCUAGAGUAUGGUAGAGGGUGGUGGAAUUUCCUGUGUAGCGGUGAAAUGCGUAGAUAUAGGAAGGAACACCAGUGGCGAAGGCGACCACCUGGACUGAUACUGACACUGAGGUGCGAAAGCGUGGGGAGCAAACAGG
Molecule: ribosomal RNA, 744 nt
Filed under: Pseudomonas sp. EP_R_84
Lineage: Bacteria; Pseudomonadati; Pseudomonadota; Gammaproteobacteria; Pseudomonadales; Pseudomonadaceae
Description: bacterial SSU rRNA
Rfam family: Bacterial small subunit ribosomal RNA
Source: RNAcentral